UGGGGAAUAUUGGGCAAUGGGGGAAACCCUGACCCAGCAACGCCGCGUGAAGGAAGAAGGUUUUCGGAUUGUAAACUUCUGUCCUUGGUGAAGAGAAGAAGACGGUAGCCAAGGAGGAAGCCCCGGCUAACUACGUGCCAGCAGCCGCGGUAAUACGUAGGGGGCAAGCGUUGUCCGGAAUGAUUGGGCGUAAAGGGCGCGUAGGCGGCUUUAUAAGUCUGGAGUGAAAGUCCUCUUUUCAAGGGAGGAAUUGCUUUGGAAACUAUAGAGCUUGAGUGCAGGAGAGGUUAUCGGAAUUCCCGGUGUAGCGGUGAAAUGCGUAGAUAUCGGGAGGAACAUCGGUGGCGAAGGCGGGUAACUGGACUGCAACUGACGCUGAGGCGCGAAAGUGUGGGGAGCA
Molecule: ribosomal RNA, 400 nt
Filed under: uncultured bacterium
Lineage: Bacteria
Description: bacterial SSU rRNA
Rfam family: Bacterial small subunit ribosomal RNA
Source: RNAcentral